RNAcentral lists this long non-coding RNA (1045 nucleotides) under Homo sapiens (human). RNAcentral describes it as "HSALNT0380706". Lineage: Eukaryota; Metazoa; Chordata; Mammalia; Primates; Hominidae. The record is from RNAcentral.
CCAAAAGGAAAGAAUUCCACCUCAUCCCAUUUUAAAAACAUAUUUCAAUAAGCGCAAAUGCUUUCUUUUUCUUUUUUUUUUUUGAAGAUGUGAAAUCUUGUACUGGUCGUUGGUUGUUUCUCUUUCAGUACAAUCAGAAAAUAGUGGAAUACUGAAUUAUGGGAAGCUUCCAUUAUCUCAGGUGUCAACAUUCCAUAGGUUGGUGUGGGGGCAGUUUUUAUGUUCUAUAAUACAAAGCAUACUAAAUGGAAUAAAUGGAAAUUUAGAGUCACAGUUAAACAUUCGACUUAUGUCUUCUCUUUUAAGCAUUUUAAACUACCUCUAUUAUAUUGAUUUUUAGAAGAAUUGUUUUCUAAAGAAAACUGCUUCCUGAUGUUGGCGCAGGUGGGCUCUCUGUGAUAUCUGCGGCCAUGGUAGUCCAUUUUUCCUACUAACUUUGUUAAUGUCCUGAGAAAAACUAGAAAUUUGAAUAGGAUAUAAAGAAUAGGAUUUCCCAGAAGAAGAGACAUUUUUAUCCCAGUAAUCCUGCUGUGUUUAGUCAUUCCUCCCAAUGCCAGUGAUCCCUUAAAUCUGGGUGUUGUCCAUCAUCAUCCCUGCCCGUCUCCGUGCAUCCACAACUGCCACAUCCUGAGAGCUCAGUCCAUCAUAAAUGCAAUUAUAGCCUUUUACCUCCUCCUCACCAGAUACUCUCUACAGGGCAAGUUCAUCAAACUGUGUGCUUAGAAGCUCUGGAGCAGAACUCUCACCCACCAGAAGAUUGCCUCAAGAGAUAAAAGAUGAUUUACAACCCAAAGUAUGCCCACUAGAGGUUUUGGCCAUUUUUACAAUGUAUUCCUGCCCAUGAAGAUGCCAACUUGACUGCCCAAUACAUAAAGCACCAAAGCAAGUAUGCGGACCCCCCCACACCUCCUCACUUCUGCUCCUGUGUAGACCCCCAUCUUUAAAAGCACUUACUUUCUCCUGCAAAAGCAAAUCAGACCCUUACAGCAGGAAGGCUUUUCUUCUUCUCCUAAACUAGCUUUGGAAUAAAAAGUUAUUUUCUUUA